CUGGGCUGGAUUCGAACCCACCAGCUCUGGUGUAUGUGGCUGGCUCCUUAGCCGCUUGAGCCACAGGCGCCGAGCCCAUGGGUGGACAUUUGGGUUCCCUCCGUCUUUCAGCUACCGCUCACCGUGAACAUUGGCGGACACGUCGUCUGAACACCUUCCAUUUUGCCUGGGCGUGUCCGCAGGGGGCCAUGGCAGGGUGAUUCUGUGGUGACCCACGUCCUUCCUGACACUUGUUAUUUUCCCUUUUUGAAAUUAUUGCUGUGGCCGCGCUGGCACACGUGAGGUGGUAUCUCACGGUUUUUUGGGAGAUUUUCAUCUGCUUGCUUGUUCUCUGUGUAGGAAAAGACCAUGACACGUUUUUAAAUUGGGUUGUCAUUUUUGUUGAGCUGUAGGAGUUUUCAUUAUAUCCUGAACUCUUACAUGAUUUGCGAUAUUCUCUCCCAUUCUGUAGAUUAUCUUUUUACUUUCUUAGCUCUUUGGUGCAUCCACGUUCCCACUUUGGUGAAGUUGAAAUCUGCCUAUUUUUUCUCUGUUGCAUCUUUUGUGGUCAUAUCUGUGGCCAAAUGCAAAGUCAUGAAAAUUUUCUUCUGAGAGUUUCAUGGAUUUAGCUUCAUUGAUUGUUUUGAGUUAAUUUUUGUGGGUGGUGUAAUGUGGGCAUUUGCCAUCCUUUUGUGUGUGAGAGCCAUUGGUCUUGUCAUUUUUUGUGGAAGAAACUGUCCUCUCUCCAUGGGAUGGCCUGGCAAUGUUGUCAAAAUUCUACUGGACACAGACACGAGGGCUCACUGCUAGACUCUCAAUUCUGUCCAUGCGUCUGUCUUUUCAGCUAGUACGGCCAGAGGGCUAGCACCGCACCACCUUGAUGGCUGUAGCUUCAUGGCAAGUUUUGGAAUUGACAGUGUGAGUCUUUAUUCUGUUGCAGAUUGUUCAGGAAAUAAUGUGUCCUGAUGUCUUCAUGUUUCGUAUGUGUGGAAUUCUUCAAGCAUCUUAGAUUCCCAUGUGAAACUAAUAAGAGUUCCAAAAAGAAAAGAGAAAACUGGGAAGGGUAUCGCCAAGUGAAAUAAUCCACGGAGCUGCCCGGGAACAGAAAGGCAUGACUUUGCAGGCACAUGACUUCUACUUCAAGAUCCAAGAAGAGUGAGCGGGCCUCCUCCCUUGGUGGACACUUCCUGAAGGCCUAUGUGAGGUGGGGGUGUUUUGCGCAGAUCCCAGUGGCUGAUUGGGCUGCCAGCCUACAAAGUGCCUUUGGAUGAAACCCUUGCAGCCAGGAGAAGACAGGUGCACUUUUUAAAAGUACUUGCAUGUGCUGACUGACCAGCCUCUGAGCUGGAGCAGCUGCCAGGAGACCCAGCACACAGAGGGAGGACACCCUCGGCGACGGCCUCACACCCUCCAAAUGCAACCAGCACCUGCCUCACCACGAGAUUUUAUGAUGCUGUAUAAAUAAACUGUGAGAGGUAACAUGUUACCCUACUCAUGAAUCAUUUUCUUGUUACUGUCAGAAUAAUUAGA
Otolemur garnettii (small-eared galago) is the source of this 1509-nucleotide long non-coding RNA. RefSeq lists it as uncharacterized. The transcript has 3 exons. The record is from RefSeq and is a predicted model, not a curated record. Lineage: Eukaryota; Metazoa; Chordata; Mammalia; Primates; Galagidae.